CAGCAGCCACGGGAAUACGUAGGUGGCAAGCGUUGUCCGGAAUUAUUGGGCGUAAAGGGCUCGCAGGCGGUUUCUUAAGUCUGAUGUGAAAGCCCCCGGCUCAACCGGGGAGGGUCAUUGGAAACUGGGAAACUUGAGUGCAGAAGAGGAGAGUGGAAUUCCACGUGUAGCGGUGAAAUGCGUAGAGAUGUGGAGGAACACCAGUGGCGAAGGCGACUCUCUGGUCUGUAACUGACGCUGAGGAGCGAAAGUGUGGGGAGCGAACAGGAUUAGAUACCCCAGUAGUCCCUGUCUCUUAUAC
RNAcentral lists this ribosomal RNA (301 nucleotides) under uncultured bacterium. Its description in RNAcentral is "partial 16S ribosomal RNA". It matches the Rfam family "Bacterial small subunit ribosomal RNA", at positions 509 to 807 of the family's 1533-position model. The record is from RNAcentral.